Molecule: small nucleolar RNA, 95 nt
Filed under: Theobroma cacao (cacao)
Lineage: Eukaryota; Viridiplantae; Streptophyta; Magnoliopsida; Malvales; Malvaceae
Description: Small nucleolar RNA snoR8a
Rfam family: Small nucleolar RNA snoR8a
Source: Rfam by way of RNAcentral
GGAGCUAGCGAUAAUUAUAAAAAUAAUUUCUUGUUCUAACUUGCUUAAUUUGGGCAUGACAAAUCUUUUAUUACAUUCAUAGAAUCUGAAUUACU